RNAcentral lists this ribosomal RNA (1420 nucleotides) under Francisella noatunensis subsp. noatunensis. RNAcentral describes it as "bacterial SSU rRNA". It matches the Rfam family "Bacterial small subunit ribosomal RNA". The record is from RNAcentral. Lineage: Bacteria; Pseudomonadati; Pseudomonadota; Gammaproteobacteria; Thiotrichales; Francisellaceae. RNAcentral also lists the same sequence under 1 other name.
UGCAAGUCGAACGGUAACAGGUCUUCGGAUGCUGACGAGUGGCGGACGGGUGAGUAACGCGUAGGAAUCUGCCCAUCUGUGGGGGAUACCAGUUGGAAACGACUGUUAAUACCGCAUAAUAUCUGCGGAUUAAAGGUGGCCUUUGUGCUGCCGCAGAUGGAUGAGCCUGCGUUGGAUUAGCUAGUUGGUAGGGUAAGGGCCUACCAAGGCUACGAUCCAUAGCUGAUUUGAGAGGAUGAUCAGCCACAUUGGGACUGAGACACGGCCCAAACUCCUACGGGAGGCAGCAGUGGGGAAUAUUGGACAAUGGGGGAAACCCUGAUCCAGCAAUGCCAUGUGUGUGAAGAAGGCUCUAGGGUUGUAAAGCACUUUAGUUGGGGAGGAAAGCCUAUAAGUUAAUAGCUUGUAGGAAGGACGUUACCCAAAGAAUAAGGACCGGCUAACUCCGUGCCAGCAGCCGCGGUAAUACGGGGGGUCCGAGCGUUAAUCGGAAUUACUGGGCGUAAAGGGUCUGUAGGUGGUUUGUUAAGUCAGAUGUGAAAGCCCAGGGCUCAACCUUGGAACUGCAUUUGAUACUGGCAAACUAGAGUAUGGUAGAGGAAUGGGGAAUUUCUGGUGUAGCGGUGAAAUGCGUAGAGAUCAGAAGGAACACCAAUGGCGAAGGCAACAUUCUGGAUCAAUACUGACACUGAGGGACGAAAGCGUGGGGAUCAAACAGGAUUAGAUACCCUGGUAGUCCACGCUGUAAACGAUGAGUACUAGCUGUUGGAUUCGGUGUAAAGGAUCUAGUGGCGCAGCUAACGCGUUAAGUACUCCGCCUGGGGACUACGGCCGCAAGGCUAAAACUCAAAGGAAUUGACGGGGACCCGCACAAGCGGUGGAGCAUGUGGUUUAAUUCGAUGCAACGCGAAGAACCUUACCUGGUCUUGACAUCCUGCGAACUUUCUAGAGAUAGAUUGGUGCCUUCGGGAACGCAGUGACAGGUGCUGCACGGCUGUCGUCAGCUCGUGUUGUGAAAUGUUGGGUUAAGUCCCGCAACGAGCGCAACCCCUAUUGAUAGUUACCAUCAUUAAGUUGGGUACUCUAUUGAGACUGCCGCUGACAAGGCGGAGGAAGGUGGGGACGACGUCAAGUCAUCAUGGCCCUUACGACCAGGGCUACACACGUGCUACAAUGGGUAUUACAGAGGGCUGCGAAGGUGCGAGCUGGAGCGAAACUCAGAAAGGUACUCUUAGUCCGGAUUGCAGUCUGCAACUCGACUGCAUGAAGUCGGAAUCGCUAGUAAUCGCAGGUCAGAAUACUGCGGUGAAUACGUUCCCGGGUCUUGUACACACCGCCCGUCACACCAUGGGAGUGGGUUGCUCCAGAAGUAGAUAGUUUAACGAAUGGGCGUUUACCACGGAGUGAUUCAUGACUGGGG